GAGCCCAGUUUUCGAAUCCGACCUUCAAAAUUCAAACUGGAAAAAAAAAAAAAUUCUACUCUAAUACUAACCGGAGUAACCUCCGUCACUUAAACCGGUGAAUUGAUAAAAACACACAUUCACGCACUCAUCCACCGUACUCACCCGCUGCCUCCUCUGCUGGACAAUCUUUGGGAAAAUGGAGAAAGAGCAUGACCCAACAUUAUCAGCAUCGCCGCCGGCAACUGCCGGUUGUGAGUUGGGAGAAGGGCAAGCUAAGCUAUAUGAGGCCUACAAUGAGCUACAUGGUUUAGCGCAGGAGUUCGAGACGCCGUUCGACGCCCCAGCUGUGCUGGUUGUGGGUCACCAAACUGACGGCAAAAGCGCACUCGUGGAAGCUCUCAUGGGUUUCCAGUUCAACCACGUCGGUGGCGGUACCAAGACUCGCCGGCCCAUUACUCUCCAUAUGAAGUAUAAUCCCGACUGUGACUCACCUCUCUGUCAUCUGCUCUCUGAUUCUGACCCCAGCAUUGACCAACAGUUGUCACUUCAAGAAAUUCAGGCAUAUAUUGAAGCUGAAAACAUGAGGUUGGAGAAGGAACCCUGUCAGUUUUCUUCUAAAGAAAUAAUCAUCAGAGUAGAAUAUAAGUAUUGUCCGAACCUCAGCAUUAUAGACACUCCAGGACUUGUUGCUCCAGCCCCAGGUCGGAAAAACAGAGCUUUACAGGCUCAAGCUCGUGCAGUGGAAUCUCUAGUGCGAGCUAAGAUGCAGCACAAGGAGUUUAUUAUUCUAUGCCUUGAAGAUUGCAAUGAUUGGAGCAAUGCAACUACUAGAAGAGUGGUAAUGCAGAUUGAUCCCGAGCUUUCAAGAACUGUUGUUGUUGCAACGAAGCUCGAUACUAAAAUACCUCAGUUUGCACGAUCAUCAGAUGUUGAAGUAUUUCUUUCGCCACCUGCAUCUACUCUUGAUGGGUUCAUGCUAGGUGACUCCCCUUUCUUCACAUCUGUCCCUUCUGGAAGAGUAGGUUUGGGGCAUGAAUCAGUUUAUCGAUCAAAUGAUGAGUUUAAACAGGCUAUUUCCUUGAGAGAAAUGGAGGAUGUAGCAGCAUUGGAGGAGAAGUUGGGUAGAUCACUCACAAAACAGGAAAGGAGCAGAAUAGGUGUCAGCAGCCUUAGGCUGUUCUUAGAAGAGCUAUUGCAGAAAAGGUACAUGGACAGUGUACCAUUAAUCAUCCCACUUCUUGAAAAAGAACAUAGGAGCAGCACAAGGAAGCUGACUGACAUAAAUCAAGAGCUAAGCACUUUGGAUGAAGUAAAACUGAAGGAGAAAGGAAGAGCUUUCCAUGACCUGUUCCUUACCAAGUUGUCGCUGCUGUUGAAAGGAACUGUCAUUGCUCCACCUGAUAAAUUUGGGGAAACUCUACAAGACGAGAGGGUCAAUGGAGGAGCAUUUGUUGGAAGUGAUGGUCUUCAGUUUCCACACAAGCUGAUACCUAAUGCUGGAAUGCGUCUUUAUGGAGGUGCUCAGUAUCAUCGUGCAAUGGCUGAAUUUCGUUUUGUUGUUGGUGGAACCAAAUGUCCUCCAAUUACACGUGAAGAAAUUGUAAAUGCAUGUGGAGUUGAAGACAUUCAUGAUGGGACAAACUACUCUAGGACAGCUUGUGUCAUUGCUGUUGCAAAAGCUCGUGAUACAUUUGAGCCUUUUCUUCAUCAGUUGGGAAACAGGCUGUUGCACAUUCUGAAGAGAUUGCUUCCCAUCUCUGUUCAUCUUCUUCAGAAAGAUGGUGAAUAUCUAAGUGGCCAUGAAGUAUUUCUCAGACGGGUUGCCUCUGCCUUCAACAACUUUGGAGAAUCCACUGAAAGAUCAUGCCGUGAAAAAUGCAUGGAGGACUUAGUCAGCACUACUCGCUACGUAACGUGGUCCCUCCACAAUAAGAAUCGUGCUGGACUACGUCAGUUCUUAGACUCAUUUGGUGGAUCAGAACAGUCUGCCACGGGUGGUAACUCAGUAGCUGCCAGUCUUUCCCAAGAAUUGUCAUCUCUGUCUAUGGCCAGUGAUAAGCAGGACAGUAAGCCAAGGCCAGACGUGAAGCUCGGUCAUUUGGCUUCAGGGAAUGAUUCAAGUGGGAGUGUUCAGGCAACAGAGACAAGAUUGGCUGACCUUUUGGAUAGCACACUUUGGAACAGGAGGCUUGCUCCUUCUUCCGAAAGGAUUGUCUAUGCAUUGGUUCAACAGAUUUUCCAUGGGAUAAGAGAGUACUUUUUGGCAUCUGUUGAGCUGAAGAAUAUUGUUGGAGAUUUUCCCUAUCAUCGGCUCUGGCUUCUUUUCUGCAGUUUAACUGUUUCCUCCUCAUGCCGGUUGUGGACAAAUUACCCGCACUCCUUCGGGAAGACCUAGAAUCUGCUUUCCAAGAUGAUCUGGAUAAUGUUUUCGACAUCACCAAUCUGCGCCAUUCUCUGGGACAGCAGAGGCGUGAAGUAGAAAUUGAGCUUAGACGGAUAAAACGACUUAAAGAGAAGUUCAGGCAGAUUCAUGAGCAACUAAUUUCACAUGAAGUCAUGUGCUAGUCAUAACCGACCAGUUUGAAGGUGGGAUGAUCAAGUGCCGGUGCUAUUUGAGUUUGUUGCAUGACCACAAACGUGUGUGCCAGUUGUAUCGAUGCAUUAGAGACUUGAUCAACCUGAAAAUCUCAUCCAAGCUUUAGAUUUUGUGAUUUUUUUUUUUUUUGCUUGCACGUUUUCUUCUCUGCUUUUGGAUAAAUAUCUCAGAAGUUAUUCAAUUUCUCAUCCUUUUUCAAAAAGGGAAGAAAAAAAAAAACUUUGAAUCAAAUAA
This is a non-coding RNA of Coffea arabica (coffee), 2812 nucleotides long. The record is from RefSeq and is a predicted model, not a curated record. NCBI's taxonomy places the organism in Eukaryota, Viridiplantae, Streptophyta, Magnoliopsida, Gentianales, Rubiaceae.